UACGUAGGGUGCAAGCGUUGUCCGGAAUUAUUGGGCGUAAAGAGCUCGUAGGCGGUUUGUCGCGUCUGCUGUGAAAACUCAGGGCUUAACCCUGAGCCUGCAGUGGGUACGGGCAGACUAGAGUGUGGUAGGGGAGAUCGGAAUUCCUGGUGUAGCGGUGGAAUGCGCAGAUAUCAGGAGGAACCCCAGAGGCGAAGGCGGCCCCCUGGCUCGUACCUGACGCUCAGCCACGAAAGCAUGGGGAGCGAACGGG
This 253-nucleotide ribosomal RNA is filed under the name uncultured bacterium. Its description in RNAcentral is "partial 16S ribosomal RNA". It matches the Rfam family "Bacterial small subunit ribosomal RNA", at positions 524 to 776 of the family's 1533-position model. The record is from RNAcentral.